GAAAACUACAAAACCAACAAAAAAAACUACUUCCUGAAUGGAUAUUUCUCAGGUUUUCACCUGCCAAAUCAGUUCUGUUAUACUCAGACACUAUUUUAACAGUUUUGGAAACUUUAGAGUGUUUUCUAUCCAAAUCUACCAGUUAUAUGCAUAUCAUGUCUUCUGGGCCCGAGUAGCAGGCAGUUUAAUUUGGGCAUGCUUUUACCUAGAGAAGUUAAAUCAAACCAUGUUAGAGGACCUUUCACCUUUUAUCUGUUAGACUAUGUCUGUGUUUACUGUGUGUGUGUGUUAGCGCAGUCGCAGUGUGUGUGUGUGUGUGUUAGCGCAGUGUGUGUGUGUGUGUGUGUGUGUUAGCGCAGUGUGUGUGUGUUGUGUCCUGUGUGUGUGUGGUAGCGCAGUGUGUGUGUGUGGUAGCGCAGUGUGUGUGUGUGGUAGCGCAGUGUGUGUGUUUGGGGAAGUCCAGUUUGGUGGUUAGUCUGGGCAGCCAGUGUGUGCAGGGGUCGGUACAUAGAUCUGUGUGAGUUAGGGUAGUGUGUGUGUGGCUGUAAGUGUGUGUGUUGGAAAGUUUGGGAAAGUCCAGUUCUGUUGAUUCGUCACUGAGACGGUGGGCUGAUAUGCCUGUGUAUGCCGGGGUCAGUGUAUAGGACUGUGUUUAUAUAGUGGGGUCGGUGUAUAGGACUGUGUUUAUAUAGUGGGGUCGGUGUAUAGGACUGUGUUUAUAUAGUGGGGUCGGUGUAUAGGACUGUGUUUAUAUAGUGGGGUCAGUUGUUAGGACUGUGUUUAUAUAGUGGGGUCAGUGUACAGGACUGUGUUUAUAUAGUGGGGUCAGUGUAUAGGACUGUUUAUAUA
Molecule: long non-coding RNA, 849 nt
Organism: Oncorhynchus tshawytscha (Chinook salmon)
Lineage: Eukaryota; Metazoa; Chordata; Actinopteri; Salmoniformes; Salmonidae
Source: Ensembl